Molecule: long non-coding RNA, 490 nt
Organism: Arabidopsis thaliana (thale cress)
Lineage: Eukaryota; Viridiplantae; Streptophyta; Magnoliopsida; Brassicales; Brassicaceae
Product: other RNA
Exons: 1
Source: RefSeq
AAGUGCUUGUAGUCCACCCUUUCAAACAAAGGAACAUAAGGUUUAUACGCGCCUAUGACAAAACCAAAUGAAUCUAAAACUUAAAACCACCUGUUGUAAUCAGUUGCAAACUAAGAAAACUUUACAUUUAACAAAACCAGAUCAUCUUUCACCAAACUUAAAGAAAAUAUUACAGGUAUUACAGCCCAUCAACUUGAGAACAGAGUUGCGGUUUAAUUCCCACGUACCUUUCCAUCAAUCAGAGUUGUAUACAGUUCUGAGCCCUUGUCUUUUAAGUCUACUGGUAUACUAGCCAAGAUCUUAUCCUUAUCAUCUAUAGCCACCUGAAACAAUUUCGUCAAAGCAUACUAUGCUUCCACUAUUCUUGCAAACUUAAUACAAAUCAAGAAGUAAAUCCACCACUUCAAUGCCAACCAAUCAAGAGUCUCUCAGAACAUACGAAACUAAGAGCCUCAAACAAGAUCAAUAAACUAGAAGCUUCUAUAGAAAA